GACGAACGCUGGCGGCGUGGAUUAGGCAUGCAAGUCGAACGGUAGGAUACCUUCGGGUAUCUGAGAGUGGCGAACGGGUGAGUAACACGUAGGUGAUCUACCCUCAAGAUUGGGACAACCCAGGGAAACUUGGGCUAAUACCGGAUGAAAGCAGCAGUGAUGUUGUUUGAAAGGUGGCGUAAGCUGCCGUUUGGGGAUGAGCCUGCGCUCUAUUAGUUAGUUGGCGGGGUAAAGGCCCACCAAGGCGAUGAUAGAUAGGCGGCCUUAACGGGUGGUCGCCCACACUGGGAUUGAGAUACGGCCCAGACUCCUACGGGAGGCAGCAGUCGAGAAUAGUCUACAAUGGCCGAAAGGCUGAUAGUGCGACGCCGCGUGAACGAAGAAGCCCUUCGGGGUGUAAAGUUCUUUUAUAUGUGAGCAGUGCUUUCUAUGUGAACAGCAUGGGGAAGAGAUAUUAGCAUAUGAAUAAGCAACGGCUAAACUCCGUGCC
This 490-nucleotide ribosomal RNA is filed under the name uncultured bacterium. RNAcentral describes it as "bacterial SSU rRNA". It matches the Rfam family "Bacterial small subunit ribosomal RNA", at positions 28 to 509 of the family's 1533-position model. The record is from RNAcentral.